This 425-nucleotide small RNA is filed under the name Pan troglodytes (chimpanzee). RNAcentral describes it as "processed transcript". Lineage: Eukaryota; Metazoa; Chordata; Mammalia; Primates; Hominidae. The record is from RNAcentral.
CAGAAAUCUGUUCUGACAUUAAAAGGAAAUGAGUGAGAACAUUUGUGCAGACCAUAUUUUACAUCCUUCCACGCCUUUCAGGCCUUAUUGAAGAUGAAUGGAUCACCAUUGAUAAAUUUACCAGAUUCACUGAUGUUCCUUUAGCUGCGGGAUUUCAGUGGUACCUUUCUCAAACUCAACUUAGUAAACUAAAACCAGGUGACUGGUCUCAGCAAGACAUAGGUAAAAAAUAAUUUUCAUUUUAUUUUUUCCCCUUGUUGAUCUGGUUAGUUUUUUUGAUUUAAGUUACUAAGGACAGGUAGUUAAUAAUAAUAUCACUUUCAUUGACAUGGUGAACUCUGCCUUUCCACUUAGGGAAAAGACAGUGAAAAAGUGUGGUAUAACUUUGACUAACACUUUUAGUGAAACUUAGCUUUAAAGCUAUU